This 451-nucleotide ribosomal RNA is filed under the name uncultured bacterium. RNAcentral's name for it is "bacterial SSU rRNA". It matches the Rfam family "Bacterial small subunit ribosomal RNA", at positions 30 to 479 of the family's 1533-position model. The record is from RNAcentral.
AUUGAACGCUGGCGGCAUGCUUUACACAUGCAAGUCGAACGGCAGCGGGGGCUUCGGCCUGCCGGCGAGUGGCGAACGGGUGAGUAAUGCAUCGGAACGUGCCCAUGUCGUGGGGGAUAACGUAGCGAAAGCUACGCUAAUACCGCAUACGCCCUGAGGGGGAAAGCGGGGGGAUUCUUCGGAACCUCGCGCGAUUGGAGCGGCCGAUGUCGGAUUAGCUAGUAGGUGAGGUAAAGGCUCACCUAGGCGACGAUCCGUAGCGGGUCUGAGAGGAUGAUCCGCCACACUGGGACUGAGACACGGCCCAGACUCCUACGGGAGGCAGCAGUGGGGAAUUUUGGACAAUGGGCGCAAGCCUGAUCCAGCCAUGCCGCGUGAGUGAAGAAGGCCUUCGGUUGUAAGACUCUUUCUAGCAGGAACGAAACGGUAGGCCGACUAAUACUAGGCUACU